RNAcentral lists this long non-coding RNA (205 nucleotides) under Mytilus galloprovincialis (Mediterranean mussel). Lineage: Eukaryota; Metazoa; Mollusca; Bivalvia; Mytilida; Mytilidae. The record is from RNAcentral.
AAUUUGCAACAUUGUGACUAUUAUACUGAUAUUAGUUGUUCUAGAUUUGGAUUAUUUUUACUAGUAAGAUUUUUAUGUGAAAAAUGUGGCUGCAGUUUAAAAAAUGACUAAUGAUCUAAAGAUACAAGGUUGGGUUUCCAAGAAAGGAUGGAUAUGGUCUUGCAAAUGGAUGGAAAGAAAAUACCAGUUGAGAACAGAAAACCAG